GAUGAAGAACGCAGCGAAAUGCGAUACGUAAUGUGAAUUGCAGAAUUCAGUGAAUCAUCGAAUCUUUGAACGCAUAUUGCGCUCUCUGAUAUUCCGGAGAGCAUGCUUGUUUGAGUAUCAGUAAACACCUCAACUUCCAUAUCUUUUUUGAAAUGGGAGUUGGACUUGAGUGAUCCCAACGCUUUUCCUCACCGAAAAGUGGCGGGUUACUUGAAAUGCAGGUGCAGCUGGACUUUUCUCUGAGCUAUAAGCAUAUCUAUUUAGUCUGCCUAAAAAACAGAUUAUUACCUUUGCUGCAGCUAACAUAAAGGAGAUUAGUUCUUGUGCUGACUGAUGCAGGAUUCACAAAGACGGCUUCGGCCGACUUUGUAAACUCGAUCUCAAAUCAAGUAAGACUACCCGCUGAACUUAAGCAUAUCAAUAAGCGGAGGA
Molecule: unclassified non-coding RNA, 432 nt
Filed under: soil metagenome
Description: partial contains 5.8S ribosomal RNA, internal transcribed spacer 2, and large subunit ribosomal RNA
Rfam family: 5.8S ribosomal RNA (bases 1-120)
Source: RNAcentral